Pantherophis guttatus is the source of this 4009-nucleotide non-coding RNA. Lineage: Eukaryota; Metazoa; Chordata; Lepidosauria; Squamata; Colubridae. The record is from RefSeq and is a predicted model, not a curated record.
GCCCGAAGGGAGUCCCCCCACCUCCCGUUUUAUCCAAUUAAGGCAGAGCAGAAAUGGGCUGUGCGCUGACCCUGGAGAAGGGGCGCGGGAGGGGCCGGCAACCGCUCCUGCUGCAGAUCCGGCUCCCCUAAGAGGAGCUCCCUUCAGCUUCUGCCGCCUCAACCGCUUCUUUGCUGCCCGGCCGUUUGAGGGGAGCCCGAGCAGGCAGGGAAACAAAAAGCCAGACUUGUGCUCUGGUCAAAGCAAACCAAAGAGGCCAAAAACCGCCGGAGGGAGAGGAGGGGAGGAGAUGUGUGUGUGUGUGUGGGGGGGGGGAAAUGGUGGUGUUGGAAAACACGAAGGACUUCUCUAGGUAGCCACUUCUGCAGACAGACUCGGCUCUGCCAGAGAGGAGAAAAGUGAGGUCUUUUCUCCUCGCUCGCUUCUCUCCAGCCUUUCGGGACCGACGCGGCAACUGCGAAGCGCGCUUCCUUCUCUUCCGCCCCUCAUCUCCACCCCCCCUCCAUCCUUCCAUCCUCCACAUCCCCCCACCCGCCGCCGCCGCACCAUCUAAGCGGUGGGGGGGGGGAAGCGGGGGCAGCCGGGACCGGCGCUGCAGAGAGAGAAGCCGAAAGCGCGCGGCCGGGGCAGGUCGAGCGAGAAGCACCGCUCGCCCUUCUCGCUCUGGCCGCGCGCGCGCGCGCGCGCGCGGGGAGAAAGAAAGAGAGAGAAAAAGAAGACUGGCGGGCGCGAGAGCUCAGACCCGCGCAGAGAGAGAGAGAGGAGGGGAGGGGGAGAGGAUGGUUCGCUCGCCGCUGCCGCUCUCUGGGACAGAGGGAGCUUGAGGGGCGGACGGAAGGGAGAUGCAGCCACGGUCUCCGGCUGGGAAUCUCUGGAGAUGAGGCGGGCACCCGCCGCCGCCGCUGCGUCUGAAGCAGCCCCGCGUUUUUGAAGAAAUCUUCCUCUGUAGCCAGGAAGCUCACAAUAGUGAUGUAGAGGACAGCAGGACAUGCUAUUAUCCUACAAACAGCUGCACAACAUGUUACCCAUUGAAACAAAAACUAGCACAACAGGGCAACAACACGCAAAACCAUUAUAUUCUACUCUGACAUAUCUAUGUGGAAGAAUUAUUUUAUUUUGAUACAAAGGAAUAACCAUAUAAGGCCCUAAUUUUGAUCAGAAGUGACAUUGUCCAUUCAUAGUUGCAUUACAUUAGUGAAACAAAUCCUUCAAAAUACUUUGAUUGACAUCCAUGUGAAAAGGCUUCACAAUUCAUCCUGACCUGCUCAACUAUUGCUGAAGGUUCUGUAAGGAAUAAAGGCUCUACCUUUUCACCGGGAAGUCAAAAGGAGAAAGAAACAAACUGCAAAUUCUGACUGAAGAUGAAGCAGCCCACCACAGUUCCACUGUUGACUUCUCUGCAGCAAGCUGCUUGAGGGAACUCAAGAUGGUAUAUGAACAUUGGUAUGAAGUGAUUUCUUCUGGCAGCCAUGAAGGCCUACUCUUUCCAACGGAAAUUUACCAAGUGGCAACAUGUAUUACUUCAUAAAAUCAACAUAAAUUGGGGCAAAUAUUAUAGUGCAUCCUGUAAGACAUGUAUGAUACUAACAUAGCCUAAUGCAGUGUUUCUUAACUUUGACAACUUUAAGAGAUGUGGACUUCACCUCCCAGAAUUCCCUGGCCAGCAAGCUGGUGAUCAUUCUGGCUGAGAAUUCUGGGAAUGGUAGACCCAACCAGUUUGGCUGAGGAAAACUAUAUUACUAACUCCGGCUUGCUUUUCACUGUCCUAGCACCAUUCUAAUUGGCAACUUCCACACCCCCUGUAUAGGACUACUAUGCCUUUGAGAUGACAGGUCUUAAAAUAUUUAUCCUUAUUUCCCUAAAAAGUAAAAUUAAAUUAUUUGUUUAAAAAAAAAUAUUGAAAUGUAACAUUGAGAUUACAAAAAGGCUCCAAUCAUAUGAGGAGAAUUGUUCUGGAUCUGGAGAUGUUUAAAUCUUCAUCCUCUAAUCAAAGCCACUGAAACAACUGCUAAAUAAUCUAGUCCCCUGGAAAUUUUCAAGAGAAAAAAGCAUUCUGAUUUUUUUUUCCCUCUGAAAAGCCCACAUUACUAUUUACUCCCUUGAUAAUUCCAAUCAACAUGACAAUUUUUUCCUGGCUCUGGCAAUGCAGAUGACAGACAAAAAGAAAUCUCUACUAAUUGGUUUGCUACUGGUGUGUCAUAAGAGUGGUUCUGAUUUUAUUUUUGUUGUUUUUUUUUCUCCUGAAUGGACUAAUAAGUAGAGAAGUAAAAGAAAACAUAACCAUCAAUAGCACCAGCAGGAAAGAAAACAAAGAUACGUAAAAGUGCACUUAAAAGCUUUCAACGGUGAUGCAUAUAUUGACCAGAUCUGCCCUGUGUUUACACUUCCCAUUGACUUUAGCUAGGUCAAUAUUAAGAGACAGAAAACCAUGCCAUAUAUUGCUGAACACAGAAAAGAAGCAUUUCAGUUUUAUUGUGGGGUUCAUUACUGGACACUACAAAUUUGUCUGGCUUUCUGUUCAUUUUAAUGGGAAAGUAAGUGGCUUUGCUAUUGUUUUCUUUGAGGAUGUUUUUUAGCCAAGCUUAUAGCCAUGAUAUUUCUUGCUAGACUUCCAUUGAAGUACACAUUAGACCUGAUCUGGCUUAAAGAAGGCCAGCCAGGAGCUAUCUCCGAGGAGGCAAUAUGGUAGUUAGAGAGAUAAAUUAGUUAAUUGGCAGGAUAGGAUUCAGAAUCCACUUUGAUUGACCCGGGAGUUGUUUCUGUUAGUUGUUAACUUAGGAAUCAAAAUAUCAAGAUCCUCACAAAAGGGAACCAUAAAUGAUAUAUUCUGCCCAGAGUCACUUAUUGAGAUGAAUGUUAUAGAAAAUCAAUCAAUCAACCAACCAACCAACCAACCAACCAAAUAAACAAAUGCCAAUAGGCGUUUCAAAAAACAAGUAGUUCAAACAAUUGGCAGAAAAUCCUGUCUACUCAUAUCCCAAGCAAAGGGUUAAGGUUAAGGUUAGGCUUGCUUUGACAAAGAAAAUAGGCAUUAAAAAAAAAUCCAUUAUAAGAUUGGCUGGUUCUUUUUAACACUAAAAAUCAGUUCUUCUCCCCUUUCCCAAUUGUACUAGAGUUACAACUCUGUAAGAAUCCAUUCUCCUGCAUCAUUUUUCCUUGCUGCCCAAUUUUUAAUCAAACGUUCCUCACAAAAACAUUUUAAAGUAGGCAGAAUGCAUAUGCUUAACCAAAGCCAACAAGAGAUGUUCAUAGUUUCUACAUCUCUUGACUCCAUAUUAGAUGCUACAUUAGCAGAGGGAGGACACUGUGUGAUGCUGGAAUUGGCUGGUUUCCCAAGGUAAUUUGACACAUAAGAUUUAUGUAAAUUUACACAGUAAAAUGCACCAGUUCCCUUAAGAAAUAUUCUAGAGUGCAUGAACAUUAGAACCUAAUUGUUGCUGAAGCAAAUUGCAUCAGUCCUGCUUGUAAAUAUUGUAGCUAUUCUCAUUACAGUGAUGUAGAAAACAUGAGAAUCGUUUCCACAGAGUUGUUCAUAUUUGCAGUCUCUAGGCCUGAGGGUAACUGGUGGCCACAUUAAAGCAGUUUUUACCGUAAUCCCAUGUGCAGGAACAGUUGUAGGAUCAAAACAAUGAAAGCAGAGUUGCAGCAUUGUGAUGUAAAUUCUGCUUGUAGGUGAAGACAUGUAAAAGAAAAGGUGCUUCCAUUGGGAUGGCAUGAUGUUGCUUCUGCCAUUUGUUCAUCUCACCCCCAGGGAUACCUCAACCUGGCGCUAAUUAUCCACAGAUUGGCUUUGAGCCUGCAGGGGUUUCUUUAUUCUCCUGCCAAUUGUUUUUAGGAUACUUAGAAUUAACACAGGUACAUUCUUGGAACAAAGGAAGCCAAGGAGACCUGUUCAGGCAUCAAGUUAGUCAUCCUGGAGAAACCACCUGUCUUUCAUUGAACUGCAAUUCUUCAAAAAAAAUAAAUAAAAUUAAAAUGUGCAAGUAUAAGCUAGUUGGUUUCUUUCAAG